RNAcentral lists this long non-coding RNA (1643 nucleotides) under Medicago truncatula (barrel medic). Its description in RNAcentral is "lncRNA gene47365". The record is from RNAcentral. Lineage: Eukaryota; Viridiplantae; Streptophyta; Magnoliopsida; Fabales; Fabaceae.
CACAAGACACCAUUGCAAACAGACCAUGUUUCUAUUCUUCUGCCAGGUCAGAGUCAGAGUACUAAGAGGUGUCUUGUAUACUCUGUAAGUAAAUAAUUUUGCAUUCUCCAUAUGUUGUUAAAUUUUUAUUUUCAUUGACAUUAGCUUCCUCUACUUCUGAGUGAUGUUUUGUCCUUUGGAUUUCUAAUCUAAAACAUUGAAAUUAAAUGUGGAAAUCUACUUUAUGUGUAGAGAGUUAGAGCUAUGAAGCAUUGUCACAAACAUUAAACACCAGAUACGACACUAAGACACUGACACAUGUACUAAUUUAAGAAUAUGAAAGUAGUUGAAUGUUAGACACCAGACAUGUCAUUGAUAUGAUGAUGUGUCGGUGUUACGCUAUUUGUUUGAUUUUGUGCUGAGUGCAUUGAGAAAGUUCUCAGUUCCACUUUUCCUUGUUUGAAGAAUUCUCUAUAUUAAGGGGGGCGUGUAAAAUAAAGAAAAUGUACACACCAAAACCAAAAUGCAUUUCCACACUCUAUAAUGGUCAGGUUUCAGUGCAUCAAACCCAAAAGAGGGAAAAAUGUUUAUUACAUAAUGUAUGCACACCCAAAAAAUCAAAUAAGAAUUCAAGUUGAUACUGCUUAUUCUUGAACUCUUUUUUCUUUCUAUAUUCAAAGUUAAUAGGAUAGGCACAAAAUUUAUGCACACAUGCACAACCAACACGCACAACCAGGAUGCUAAUGAUUCAACAGACAUCCAUAUUCAAAGUUAAUAGGAUAAGCACAAAAUUUAUGCACACACACAAUCAGGAUGCUAAUGAUUCCACAGACAGAAGACUUUGUACAAAAAAAAGAAAAAGAAAAAUGGCAAACCAUAGGACGACACGCUAAGCACACCAAUACUUUGUGCAAGUAUCAAGAAAUUUAAUUAUGAGUGAAAGGGGUGAUGCUAAAAGAAUGUAUCAUAACAUUCUACGGGAAGCGUGUGCCUUUCAAAACUUAAGGCAGAGAUUGCAAUCAUUCUCAAAACAGGAAAACUUUGAUGAUGUUAUUGGCAAGAGACUCUCUUCAUGAAUUCCAAUUAAUCAAGACAGCUCUUGACACCUCCUUUAAAAUCAAGGAUCUAGGAACUUUGAAGUACUUCCUUGGUCUAGAGGUAGCUCAUUCUACGCUUGGAAUUUCCCUACACCUUAAAAAAUUAAGAAAAACUCUGAAAGCCGAAAUGCCAAGGAUGGAACAAAGAAUUCAGAAACGGGAACUUCAUAUGAAUAUUUGUAUGUCAGACGAAUCAUGGAUUAUACUGAAGCAGUCUUACUUCACCACACCUCCUUUAAGAUUAAGAAAAACUCUGAAACCCGAAUUGCCAAGGAUGGAGCAAAGGAUUCAGAAAGCAGAAUGUCAUAUGAAUAUUUGUAUGUCAGAUGAAUCAUGGAUUAUAUUGAAGGGCUCUUACGCACGGUGGCGGUUUGUAUGGGUUGACAUUGGUACUGAUAGAUGGAGACUCCACUCCCAGUGUUUUCCUUAGGAAGCUCUUUUCCUGAAAGUGUUAAAAAAUGGUUAGUAUACUGUCAAACUUUGAUAUAUCCCAGUGCCUAACAAACAAAAUACAGUUUUUUAUUGCAAAACACACUAAAAACAAAGGUGUGAAUAACUCUAAUGCAC